GCUGGCGGCGUGCCUAAUACAUGCAAGUCGAGCGGAUUGAUGGGAGCUUGCUCCCUGGUAUCAGCGGCGGACGGGUGAGUAUGACGUGGGUAACCUGCCUGUAAGACUGGGAUAACUCCGGGAAACCGGGGCUAAUACCGGAUAACUCAUUUCCUCGCAUGAGGAAAUGUUGAAAGGUGGUUCUGGCUACCACUUACAGAUGGACCCGCGGCGCAUUAGCUAGUUGGUGAGGUAACGGCUCACCAAGGCAACGAUGCGUAGCCGACCUGAGAGGGUGAUCGGCCACACUGGGACUGAGACACGGCCCAGACUCCUACGGGAGGCAGCAGUAGGGAAUCUUCCGCAAUGGACGAAAGUCUGACGGAGCAACGCCGCGUGAGUGAUGAAGGUUUUCGGAUCGUAAAGCUCUGUUGUUAGGGAAGAACAAGUGCCGUUCGAAUAGGGCGGCACCUUGACGGUACCUAACCAGAAAGCCACGGCUAACUACGUGCCAGCAGCCGCGGUAAUAC
Molecule: ribosomal RNA, 509 nt
Filed under: marine sediment bacterium ISA-3068
Lineage: Bacteria
Description: bacterial SSU rRNA
Rfam family: Bacterial small subunit ribosomal RNA
Source: RNAcentral